GUUAUGCUUGUCUUUUCCACUAUUUUCCUUUAUCUCUUUGAGAAUACUGAUUAUACUUGCCUUACAUUUAAUUUUUCGUUUAUAUUGUUUUUGGCCCGCCAACUCUUCUUUAUGCGAUGUAAGGUAGAGGGAUUUACCUCAAAUUGGAGAUUUUCUAACUUUACAAGCUUUGUUGAACUACUCUUUGUGGGUCUCUCUCCACAGUCAGCAACGCUACCCUUAGGGAUCCUCCAUUCCUCCUCUGUGGUCCUAGCAGCAAUGGUGGGGAAGAGCCAGCCAAAAUGCCUGAGAAUCUCCUGUUAUUCACCUUCUACAACAGCAAGGUCCUCAGUACCUUAAAGCUGUCUGUUUGUGCACUGAAGAUCUUCCAGGAUUAAUUGAACAAAGAGUUUGGUGAAGACUUCUGGGAAAUUAUCACAAAAGACAAAUCAUAAUAGGCGGUUGCAGCAGCAGAAAUGCUCUUUUAAGAAAAGCCUUUCAACGGACUCUGAGAGUCUGAAUCUCCUACGGGUUCUACGAAUAGCAGCAGCCUUGGUUGCAAAUCAAGGGCAUGAUUGUAGGUACACAGAGCUCGGCCCAGGUGGUAACUGACACAAAGGGUCAGCCCUAAAUGAAACUGUGAAGACGGUAAAAUUCAUUU
This 640-nucleotide long non-coding RNA is filed under the name Bos indicus x Bos taurus (hybrid cattle). RNAcentral describes it as "lncRNA (ENSBIXG00005003984.1)". Lineage: Eukaryota; Metazoa; Chordata; Mammalia; Artiodactyla; Bovidae. The record is from RNAcentral.